UCCAGACUCCUACGGGAGGCAGCAGUGGGGAAUAUUGCACAAUGGGGGGAACCCUGAUGCAGCGACGCCGCGUGGGUGAAGGAGCACCUCGGUGCGUAAAGCCCUAUCGGCAGGGAAGAAGCAGACGGUACCUGACUAAGAAGCCCCGGCUAACUACGGGCCAGCAGCCGCGGUAAUACGUAGGGGGCAAGCGUUAUCCGGAUUCACUGGGUGUAAAGGGAGCGUAGACGGCGACGCAAGUCUGGAGUGAAAGCCCGGGGCCCAACCCCGGGACUGCUCUGGAAACUGCGGCGCUGGAGUACGGGAGGGGCAGGCGGAAUUCCUGGUGUAGCGGUGAAAUGCGUAGAUAUCAGGAGGAACACCGGCGGCGAGGGCGGCCUGCUGGACCGUGACUGACGUUGAGGCUCGAGAGCGUGGGGAGCAAACAGGAUUA
RNAcentral lists this ribosomal RNA (433 nucleotides) under uncultured bacterium. RNAcentral describes it as "bacterial SSU rRNA". It matches the Rfam family "Bacterial small subunit ribosomal RNA", at positions 330 to 780 of the family's 1533-position model. The record is from RNAcentral.